This is a non-coding RNA of Salmo salar (Atlantic salmon), 665 nucleotides long. The record is from RefSeq and is a predicted model, not a curated record. Lineage: Eukaryota; Metazoa; Chordata; Actinopteri; Salmoniformes; Salmonidae.
CAGAUGAGAGAUAUUGGAGAAAGGUUGAUCAUGGACAUUUGGCAGAGCGCUGUGUGAUCAUGUUUACAUCUCGUUUCUCCAAGAGAGCUGAGCUGAGAAAAUAUGCAGCCUUUGCAGGUGGUGACACACAUCUCUGCGUGUCUGGCAGACAUCUCAGCUUGGAUGUUGGCCCACCACCUUAAACUCAACCUCAAAAACCAGCGCUGCUCUUCCUCUCAGGGAAGGGCCUACCCGCUCCAAGAGCUCUCCAUCACGGUUGACAACUCCUUGGUGUGACCCUGGACAACACCAUCAUUCUCUACAAACAUCAAAGCAGUGACUUGCUCCUGCAGGUUCAUGCUCUACAACUAGGGCUGUUGCAUUGACUGUAUCACAGCCACACCGGUAGUCACAAACCUUUGGUCACAGUAAUCUCAUCCAAAACGGUGCAAAUGAAUGGCACUGAUGGGUAGCCUACCAAACAGUCCUUGCACUCAGCUAUUGUCACUCUAAUCAAUCUCUAAACACUUCAUGAUUGAAUACAUUUACAUUUUUGUCAUUUAGCAGAGACUCAUUGAGUCCAAUCUUUAAAAUGUCAUUUAACUAAUCUUCAUAAAGCUAAAAAAGAAACAUUGUAAAAUCAACUCUACUGUUUCCCUUUAUUAAAAUACAACCAGUUGUCCAUG